GCUGGGUGUGGUCAUGAAUGCCUGUAGUCCCAGCUACUUGGGAAGCUGAGGCAGGAGGAUAGCUGGAACCCAGGAGUUUGAGGUCAGCUUUGACAACAUAGUGAAACCUUGCCUUUA
RNAcentral lists this small RNA (117 nucleotides) under Marmota monax (woodchuck). The record is from RNAcentral. Lineage: Eukaryota; Metazoa; Chordata; Mammalia; Rodentia; Sciuridae.